Molecule: long non-coding RNA, 1237 nt
Organism: Cannabis sativa
Lineage: Eukaryota; Viridiplantae; Streptophyta; Magnoliopsida; Rosales; Cannabaceae
Exons: 5
Source: RefSeq, a predicted model, not a curated record
UCUUUAUAUAUUAAAAGUGCCUAUUUAACGACAUUUCUUGGUUUCUUGGUUUAACAGAAUAUACCUUAAAAAUAAAAGAAUAUUCUGUUAAAUUUAACGAUGUUAAUACGUUAACAAAUAAACCCAAAAAAUUAAACAAUCUUUUUUUAAAUUAAAAAAAAUCAUAUUAAAAAAAUCAUCUUAUCUCUCUAACAAACCUGUUAAAUUUAACCCCAAAAAACCAUCCACGUUAACUUUAAAAAAUAAUAAAUAAAUAAAAGAAUACUAGACCUCUACUUUGUCACUCUCCAUCCUAUUUUCUCGCAAAGACAGUUUGAUUUAUCUAUGCAGAGACGGAGCCAAAGAGAAUGAAACCCUAGAAAUGGUUUUGGAAUCAAAUGUCAAAUGGGAAAAUAUGGAACUUAUUUGAAAAAGAAGAAGUCGAAGAGGAUGUAUGCAGAGACGGAGCCAAAGAGAAUGAAACCCUAGAAAUGGUUUUGGAAUCAAAUGUCAAAUGGAAAAAUAUGGAAGAAGUCGAAGAGGAUGAACUAGCAGAAGAAGGAUAAGAAGUUCAAAAGGUUAAUAGUAAAAGAGAAAAACACAUUCCUAUUUAGCUUUUUCAGUUGUGGACACAUUUGGGCUCACUCCUUAGAGAUCUCCUCUCAAUUCCCUCUUGCAGAUUUGUGGAUGAAGUUCAAAGGUUUCGACUUUAGCGGCCCCGUUUGUGACAUUUUUUUUCAAGGAACCUCCAUCAAAAUUGCAGAUUAUGGGCAUAGUUCAACUCAAUUGCGUAUAAACUAUGGAAUUGUUGAUGAGGCUAAUUCUCAUGACUGCUUGGUGAUUGAGAGAUGGCCAGGAAUUUCAGUCAUAUAUUCUUCAGAACAGGAUACACACCAACUGACUACCAAUCAGAAUCGGAAUUAAGAGUUAGCCUACUGAUGGAGCAAUCAUUUGCUGUCAAGUGUCCAUCAAUAUCUUAUCAUUUAGUAGGUACCAAGAAAAUGGCGCAAGAAGUAACAAAACUCAACGUGCUUGUAUGAUACAUAGCUCUAAUUUAUCAUUAAUAAGAGUGGGUUACCCUGAUUGAAAUUGUAGCCUUCAAUCUUAGAGCUAGCAUUUUCUCCUUUAACUUGAUUCAGGCAUGACAGAUGAUUUAUCCUGCGCAUCGCAUUCCUGGUUUGAACACUCUCUUGGUGUGUAUUGGCUUGCUGAGAAAUAUGUUCUAAAGCUAAUAAAUUAUCAGGUUUUUCUUGCUUUA